This 584-nucleotide ribosomal RNA is filed under the name uncultured Flavobacterium sp. RNAcentral describes it as "bacterial SSU rRNA". It matches the Rfam family "Bacterial small subunit ribosomal RNA", at positions 584 to 1175 of the family's 1533-position model. The record is from RNAcentral. Lineage: Bacteria; Pseudomonadati; Bacteroidota; Flavobacteriia; Flavobacteriales; Flavobacteriaceae.
UAAGUCAGUGGUGAAAGCCCUACGCUUAACGUAGGAACGGCCAUUGAUACUGUUAGGCUUGAAUUAUUAGGAAGUAACUAGAAUAUGUAGUGUAGCGGUGAAAUGCUUAGAGAUUACAUGGAAUACCAAUUGCGAAGGCAGGUUACUACUAAUGGAUUGACGCUGAUGGACGAAAGCGUGGGUAGCGAACAGGAUUAGAUACCCUGGUAGUCCACGCCGUAAACGAUGGAUACUAGCUGUUGGAAGCAAUUUCAGUGGCUAAGCGAAAGUGAUAAGUAUCCCACCUGGGGAGUACGAACGCAAGUUUGAAACUCAAAGGAAUUGACGGGGGCCCGCACAAGCGGUGGAGCAUGUGGUUUAAUUCGAUGAUACGCGAGGAACCUUACCAAGGCUUAAAUGUAGUUUGACCGAUUUGGAAACAGAUCUUUCGCAAGACAAAUUACAAGGUGCUGCAUGGUUGUCGUCAGCUCGUGCCGUGAGGUGUCAGGUUAAGUCCUAUAACGAGCGCAACCCCUGUUGUUAGUUGCCAGCGAGUCAAGUCGGGAACUCUAACAAGACUGCCAGUGCAAACUGUGAGGAAGGUG